CAACAGCAUCAAGAUCAUCAGGAGAGAUGCACCAUGGGACGCAUCAGCAGUGACUGAUCUGCCCCAGAGCAAGUGCAGCCAAAGCUCUCCGUGCACUAAAUACUGACUGUACUCCAGACAGGCCUCCAAGGGCACAGCUGGGCAUACCCUGUAGUUAUCUUACUUCCUGUAGUUAUUUUAAUUCCUGGCCCCUCUUUCCCUAAAUCCAAUUGUUAGCAAAGACUCCCCUCAACCUUUUUUUUUUUUUGAGAAGGGGGUCUUAUUAUGUUGCCCAGGCUGGUCUUGAAUUGCUGGGCUCGAGCAGUCCUCCUGGUUCAGCCUCCUGAGUAGCUGAGAUUACAGGUGUGAGCCACCGCGCCCACCCAUGUUCAUAUUUUAAAUUUAUAGAAA
Molecule: long non-coding RNA, 390 nt
Organism: Homo sapiens (human)
Lineage: Eukaryota; Metazoa; Chordata; Mammalia; Primates; Hominidae
Source: Ensembl